Molecule: non-coding RNA, 101 nt
Organism: Pimephales promelas (fathead minnow)
Lineage: Eukaryota; Metazoa; Chordata; Actinopteri; Cypriniformes; Leuciscidae
Source: RefSeq, a predicted model, not a curated record
CUUUGUCUGGAUAAUAUUACAACUUUGCAUGGGAACUGUUUUUGCUGAUACAAUUCAACCAUUGUCUUCAGAAAAGCAUGUUGUUGAGGCUACAAAAGCGA